RNAcentral lists this ribosomal RNA (535 nucleotides) under Bifidobacterium longum subsp. infantis. RNAcentral describes it as "bacterial SSU rRNA". It matches the Rfam family "Bacterial small subunit ribosomal RNA", at positions 161 to 711 of the family's 1533-position model. The record is from RNAcentral. RNAcentral also lists the same sequence under 2 other names. Lineage: Bacteria; Bacillati; Actinomycetota; Actinomycetes; Bifidobacteriales; Bifidobacteriaceae.
UGGUAAUGCCGGAUGCUCCAGUUGAUCGCAUGGUCUUCUGGGAAAGCUUUCGCGGUAUGGGAUGGGGUCGCGUCCUAUCAGCUUGACGGCGGGGUAACGGCCCACCGUGGCUUCGACGGGUAGCCGGCCUGAGAGGGCGACCGGCCACAUUGGGACUGAGAUACGGCCCAGACUCCUACGGGAGGCAGCAGUGGGGAAUAUUGCACAAUGGGCGCAAGCCUGAUGCAGCGACGCCGCGUGAGGGAUGGAGGCCUUCGGGUUGUAAACCUCUUUUAUCGGGGAGCAAGCGAGAGUGAGUUUACCCGUUGAAUAAGCACCGGCUAACUACGUGCCAGCAGCCGCGGUAAUACGUAGGGUGCAAGCGUUAUCCGGAAUUAUUGGGCGUAAAGGGCUCGUAGGCGGUUCGUCGCGUCCGGUGUGAAAGUCCAUCGCUUAACGGUGGAUCCGCGCCGGGUACGGGCGGGCUUGAGUGCGGUAGGGGAGACUGGAAUUCCCGGUGUAACGGUGGAAUGUGUAGAUAUCGGAAAGAACACCA